This 536-nucleotide long non-coding RNA is filed under the name Oryctolagus cuniculus (rabbit). RNAcentral describes it as "lncRNA (ENSOCUG00000030344.1)". Lineage: Eukaryota; Metazoa; Chordata; Mammalia; Lagomorpha; Leporidae. The record is from RNAcentral.
UUUCCUUCCGUGCCCACCCGCUGAGAGAAGGAAGGGAGCGAGAACAGAAUUUAGCGUCCUCCGCCCUCCAUCCUAAUCCUAUUUGUUAAGGAGAUUUGCCAUAAAGCCAAUGCUUCCAGGCGGCUUCCAUGGCCGAAUUACCACACCGCACAGCUCCGAACAGUGGGAGUGAGAGAGGCGACUGCAGGUCCGAGGCCGCGGAGAGGGGUCCCCGCCCGGGCACCGCCUGGGCGCUGCUCCGGCUCCGCUCUCUCCUCCUGCCUCUCGGGCCCUCUGGCCCCAGCGGUGCUUUAUCCGUCAAAACCCCGAACAAAAACUGUAGGCAACAAGGAGGCUGGACACAGAUGCUUAGACCCCCGGGCCAGUGUUCCCUGCUCUGCUCCUCGCUUCCUUGUGCCCUGGCUUGGCUCACACUUGCCUGCACGCUCUGUCCUGGCUGCCUGUUCGAGGAUGGCCUUUGCGGACCGACGGAGGCCUGCGUAAAUGAUUUCCAGCUAUUUACCAAGGCAGCUGUGUGGUCACGGAGUGGUAAUUGA